RNAcentral lists this ribosomal RNA (492 nucleotides) under uncultured bacterium. RNAcentral's name for it is "partial 16S ribosomal RNA". It matches the Rfam family "Bacterial small subunit ribosomal RNA", at positions 29 to 507 of the family's 1533-position model. The record is from RNAcentral.
AGCGAACGCUGGCGGUAGGCCUAACACAUGCAAGUCGAACGGCAGCACAGUAAGAGCUUGCUCUUACGGGUGGCGAGUGGCGGAAGGGUCAGGUAUACAUCGGACCCUACUCUUUCGUGGGGCAUAACGAAGGGAAACUUACGCCAAUACCGCAUACGCCCUACCGGUGAAAGCAGGGGAUCUUCGGGCCUUGCGCGAUUGAAUGAGCCGCUGUCGGAUUAGCUAGUUGGCGGGGUAAAGGCCAACCAAGGCGACGAUCCGUAGCUGGUCUGAGAGGAUGGUCGCCCACACGAGAGCGUGAACGGGGACCAGACUACUGAGAGAGGCAGCAGAGGGGAAUAUUAGACAGUGGUCGCGAGUCUGGCACAGCCGUACCACGUGUGUUAAGGAGGCCUUCGGGGUGUGAAGCCCGUUUGUUGGGAGAGAAAAGCAUCAGGUUGAUACCCCGCGGUUCUGACGGUACCCAGUGAAUAAGCACCGGCUAACUACGUG